GAUGAGCGCUGGCGGUCUGCUUAACACAUGCAAGUCGAACGGAGUACUUCGGUACUUAGUGGCGGACGGGUGAGUAACGCGUGAGGAUCUGCCCUCAGGAGGGGGACAACGACUGGAAACGGUCGCUAAUACCCCAUAUGCCGAGAGGUGAAAUGUUUUUUCGCCUGAGGAUGAGCUCGCGUCAGAUUAGCUAGUUGGUGGGGUAACGGCCUACCAAGGCGACGAUCUGUAGCUGGUCUGAGAGGAUGAUCAGCCACACUGGGACUGAGACACGGCCCAGACUCCUACGGGAGGCAGCAGUGGGGAAUUUUCCGCAAUGGGCGAAAGCCUGACGGAGCAAGACCGCGUGAGGGAUGACGGCCUAAUGGUUGUAAACCUCUUUUCUCUGGGAAGAUAAUGACGGUACCAGAGGAAUAAGCCUCGGCUAACUCCGUGCCAGCAGCCGCGGUAAUACGGAGGAGGCAAGCGUUAUCCGGAAUUAUUGGGCGUAAAGCGUCCGUAGGUGGUUAAUCAAGUCAGCUGUUAAAGAGCGGAGCUCAACUCCGUUAGAGCGGUUGAAACUGAUUGACUAGAGUUUGGUAGGGGUCGAGGGAAUUCCCAGUGUAGCGGUGAAAUGCGUAGAUAUUGGGAAGAACACCGGUGGCGAAAGCGCUCGACUGGGCCUGAACUGACACUGAGGGACGAAAGCUAGGGGAGCGAAAGGGAUUAGAUACCCCUGUAGUCCUAGCCGUAAACGAUGGAUACUAGGUGUUGCUCGU
RNAcentral lists this ribosomal RNA (758 nucleotides) under uncultured Antarctic cyanobacterium. RNAcentral describes it as "bacterial SSU rRNA". It matches the Rfam family "Bacterial small subunit ribosomal RNA", at positions 28 to 830 of the family's 1533-position model. The record is from RNAcentral. Lineage: Bacteria; Bacillati; Cyanobacteriota.